This 253-nucleotide ribosomal RNA is filed under the name uncultured bacterium. Its description in RNAcentral is "partial 16S ribosomal RNA". It matches the Rfam family "Bacterial small subunit ribosomal RNA", at positions 102 to 353 of the family's 1533-position model. The record is from RNAcentral.
ACGGGUGAGUAACGCGUGGGUAACCUGCCUUAUACAGGGGGAUAACAGUUAGAAAUGACUGCUAAUACCGCAUAAGCGCACAGGAUUGCAUGAUCUGGUGUGAAAAACUCCGGUGGUAUAAGAUGGACCCGCGUCUGAUUAGCUGGUUGGUGAGGUAACGGCCCACCAAGGCGACGAUCAGUAGUCGACCUGAGAGGGUGACCGGCCACAUUGGGACUGAGACACGGCCCAAACUCCUACGGGAGGCAGCAUG